AAUGAACGCUGGCGGCGUGCUUAACACAUGCAAGUCGUGCGCGAAAGUGGCUUCGGUCACUGGAGAGCGGCGAACGGGUGAGUAACACGUGGACAACCUGCCUGGAAGUGGGGGAUAACCUGGGGAAACUUGGGCUAAUACCGCAUACGUUCGUGGAGUCUCGGCUCUGCGAAACAAAGAUGGCCUCUGCUUGCAAGCUAUCGCUACCAGAGGGGUCCGCGCCUGAUUAGCUAGUUGGUAGGGUAAUGGCCUACCAAGGCGACGAUCAGUAGCCGGCCUGAGAGGGUGAUCGGCCACACUGGAGCUGAGACACGGUCCAGACUCCU
This 326-nucleotide ribosomal RNA is filed under the name uncultured bacterium. RNAcentral describes it as "bacterial SSU rRNA". It matches the Rfam family "Bacterial small subunit ribosomal RNA", at positions 29 to 340 of the family's 1533-position model. The record is from RNAcentral.